CUUAUCCUACCACACGCCCUCUCCUUUACUUUGAUCUCUUUUUCAACCUGUCAUGCU
This 57-nucleotide non-coding RNA is filed under the name Aurantiochytrium limacinum. The record is from RNAcentral. Lineage: Eukaryota; Bigyra; Thraustochytrida; Thraustochytriidae.